CCUACGGGAGGCUGCAGUGAGGAAUAUUGGUCAAUGGGCGCGAGCCUGAACCAGCCAAGUAGCGUGAAGGAUGACUGUCCUACGGGUUGUAAACUUCUUUUGUCAAGGAAUAAAGUCAGGCACGUGUGCCUUUUUGUAUGUACCUUAUGAAUAAGGAUCGGCUAACUCCGUGCCAGCAGCCGCGGUAAUACGGAGGAUCCGAGCGUUAUCCGGAUUUAUUGGGUUUAAAGGGAGCGUAGAUGGGUUGUUAAGUCAGUGGUCAAAGUUUGGGGCUCAACCGUAAAAUGGCAAUUAAUACGGGCAGCCUUGAGUAGAGUUGAGGGAGGCGGAAUUCGUGGUGUAGCGGUGAAAUGCUUAGAUAUGACGAAGAACUCCGAUUGCGAAGGCAGACGACUAAACUGCCACUGACAUUGAUGCUCGAAAGUGUGGGUAUCAAACAGGAUUAGAUACCCGGGUAGU
RNAcentral lists this ribosomal RNA (459 nucleotides) under uncultured bacterium. RNAcentral's name for it is "partial 16S ribosomal RNA". It matches the Rfam family "Bacterial small subunit ribosomal RNA", at positions 338 to 794 of the family's 1533-position model. The record is from RNAcentral.